CCCACGCCGCCUGGCCGCCCGCGCUGCUCCUCUCCUGAGAUGGGUCUGAGAAAGAGAAACGCCAUGGUUGGUGAGGCAGCCAUGUUCGCCACAUCUUGGUAGCCCUCACUCGGCAUUGACAUCCUCUCGUUCUUGGACUUGAAGUUAACUCAGCCAUGAGGAAGCAUGGGUGGCAGCUGCCGUACCACCCUCUCCAGGUGGUUGCGAUAGCCGUGUUCUCGGCACUGGGGUUCACCUUCUCGUCUUCUUCGUGCCGUUCGUGGGGACGAAGCCGUUCCAGAUUGUGGCCAUGGCUAUCUACACUCCAUUGAUUACAUGUGUUGUUGUGUUAUACAUAUGGUGUGCGGAAACAAAUCCUGGAGACCCAGGCAUUUUCGAUUCAACGAAGAAUUUGAAGUAAGAUAAGAAUGAAAAGCACUCCUAUGUGAAUUCGGAUCAGGGGAUUAAUCAUGGAGAAGGCCAUUAAGUGAGACUUUUGGUACUGCUGAUAACAGUGAGAAGCUGAGCAGCAUGCUUGAGAGGUAGGAAGCUACACUGUCCCUAUGAAGUUAUUCAUGAUGACAGUGUCAAAUGAUUUGGCGAGUGUUAUUUUUCGGGUAAAAAAUUAUUUGUACUGUCAAAAAAAUACUGGCAACGCUUCUUUGUCAAGUAUAUUUUUUUUUUC
Long non-coding RNA from Zea mays, 664 nucleotides. RefSeq lists it as uncharacterized. The record is from RefSeq and is a predicted model, not a curated record. The transcript is spliced from 3 exons. Lineage: Eukaryota; Viridiplantae; Streptophyta; Magnoliopsida; Poales; Poaceae.